CUACGGGAGGCAGCAGUGAGGAAUAUUGGGCAAUGGAGGAGACUCUGACCCAGCCAUGCCGCGUGUAGGAAGAAUGCCCUAUGGGUUGUAAACUACUUUUAUACAGGAAGAAACACUGGUAUGUAUACCAGCUUGACGGUACUGUAAGAAUAAGGACCGGCUAACUCCGUGCCAGCAGCCGCGGUAAUACGGAGGGUCCAAGCGUUAUCCGGAAUCAUUGGGUUUAAAGGGUCCGCAGGCGGUCAAUUAAGUCAGAGGUGAAAUCCCGUCGCUCAACGACGGAACUGCCUUUGAUACUGGUUGACUUGAGUCAUAUGGAAGUAGAUAGAAUGUGUAGUGUAGCGGUGAAAUGCAUAGAGAUUACACAGAAUACCGAUUGCGAAGGCAGUCUACUACGUAUGUACUGACGCUGAGGGACGAAAGCGUGGGGAGCGAACAGGAUUAGAUACCCUGGUAGUCCACGCCGUAAACGAUGGAUACUAGUUGUUGGGCAAUAGCUCAGUGACUAAGCGAAAGUGAUAAGUAU
RNAcentral lists this ribosomal RNA (526 nucleotides) under uncultured Bacteroidota bacterium. RNAcentral's name for it is "bacterial SSU rRNA". It matches the Rfam family "Bacterial small subunit ribosomal RNA", at positions 339 to 867 of the family's 1533-position model. Lineage: Bacteria; Pseudomonadati; Bacteroidota. The record is from RNAcentral.